This 1394-nucleotide ribosomal RNA is filed under the name metagenome. Its description in RNAcentral is "SSU rRNA". It matches the Rfam family "Eukaryotic small subunit ribosomal RNA", at positions 1 to 1371 of the family's 1831-position model. The record is from RNAcentral.
ACUGGUUGAUCCUGCCAGUACUAUAUGCUUACAAAGAAGACUAAGCCAUGCACGUGUAAGGUUAAGUAAUUAACUGGCGAACCUGUGAAUGGCUCAUUAAUCAGAUCUAAUCUACCUGAAAGUAAACUUUUAGAAGGAUACCUUUUCUAACUGAGCAGCUAAUACUUGGAUAUGCUGUCCGCCUCUUUGCGAGGUGGGCGGGUGUUUUUUAGAUUCCAGCCAACGCUUCCCGCGAGGGUAGCCUCGGUGAUUCAUAAUAACCGUUCGAACCGCAGUGCCCCUCGGGGCGGCGGGAGUUCAGUCGAAGAUCUGCCCUAUCAGCUUUCGACGGUAGUGUAGUGGACUACCGUGGCGGUGACGGGUAACGGAGAAACAGGGUUCGAAUCCGGAGAGGGAGCCUGAGAGAUGGCUACCACUUCCAAGGAAGGCAGCAGGCGCGAAAAUUGUCCCUUCCCGACCCGGGGAGACAGUGAAGUUGAAUAACGAUCCCGGAUGGUUUUUCUGUCUGGGAAUCGGAUUGAGCGUAAUCUAAACCUCUUAGCCAGGACCACUGGAGGGCAAGUCUGGUGCCAGCAGCCGCGGUAAUUCCAGCUCCAGGAGCGUAUACUAAAUUUGCUGUGGUUAAAAAGCUCGUGGUUGAAGUUGUGUGUUGGUGUUGCGCGGGGGCGCGUUCGUUGGAGCGUAGCUUGCUUCCCGUGCCGCUAGCGCAUCUGGGUUGUGUGUGGCAGCGGUGCCACGCGUAGCCCCCAUUACUGUGAACAAAUCGACGCGUUCCAAGCAGGCAUUCCGCCGUGAACGAUCUAGCAUGGGAUAACGACAUAGGACUUGCGCCUAUUCGUUGGCAGUAGCGCUCAAGUAAUGAUGGAUAGGGACAGCUCGGGGGUGCCAGUACUGCACGGCCAGCGGUGAAAUGCGGUGAUUCGUGCAUGACUAACGAUUGCGAAAGCAUUCACCAAGGAUGUCUUCUUUAAUCAAGAACGAAAGUUGGGGGAUCGAAGAGGAUCAGAUACCCUCGUAGUCUCAACCAUAAACUGUGCCGACUGGGGAUUGGAUUGUCAGUUGUCGUUGCGCGCGUGUCGCAGCGCGCGCAGCUCCCGACCGAUUCAGCACCCUGCGAGAAAUCAAAGUGUUUGGGUUCCGGGGGGAGUAUGGUCGCAAGGCUGAAACUUAAAGGAAUUGACGGAAGGGCACCACCAGGAGUGGAGCCUGCGGCUUAAUUUGACCCAACACGGGGAAACUUACCCGGUCCAGACAAAACGAGGAUUGACAGAUUGCAGAGCUUUCAAGAUUUUUUGGAUGGUGGUGCAUGGCCGUUCUUAGUUGGUGGAGUGAUUUGUCUGGUUAAUUCCGUUAACGAACGAGACCUUGAGUGGGUUGAUGUGAUGUGCGUGGGU